GUGUCUCUGUGUGUGUGUGUGUGUGUGUGUGUGGUUGUUUAGGGUGUGUGUGUGACUGUGUGAGUGUGUUUAUAUGCAUAUGUGUGUGGUUGUUUAGGGUGUGUGUGUGUGUGUCUCUCUCUCUCUCUGUGUAUGUGUGUGUGUAUGUGUGUGUAUGUGUGUGUGUGUGUGUGUUUAUAUGCAUAUGUGUGUGGUUGUUUAGGGUGUGUGUGUGACUGUGUGUGUGUGUGUUUAUAUGCAUAUGUGUGUGGUUGUUUAGGGUGUGUGUGUGACUGUGUGUGUGUGUGUGUUUAUAUGCAUAUGUGUGUGGUUGUUUAGGGUGUAUGUGUGACUGUGUGUGUGUGUGUAUGUAUAUGUAAUUGUGUGAGUGUUUUUGUCUGUGCGAGUGUGUUAAGUUGUGUGUGUGUGUGUGUGUGUGUAUGUAAUUGUGUGAGUGUUUUUGUCUGUGCAAGUGUGUUAAGUUGUGUUUGUGUGUGUGUGUGUGUGUAUGUAAUUGUGUAAGUGUUUUUGUCUGUGCGAGUGUGUUAAGUUGUGUUUGUGUGUGUGUGUGUGUGUGUGUGUAUGUAAUUGUGUGAGUGUUUUUGUCUGCGCAAGUGUGUUAAGUUGUGUUUGUGUGUUUGUGUGUGUAUGUAAUUGUGUGAGUGUUUUUGUCUGUGCGAGUGUGUUAAGUUGUGUGUGUGUGUGUGUGUAUGUAAUUGUGUGAGUGUUUUUGUCUGUGCGAGUGUGUUAAGUUAUGUUUGUGUGUGUGUAUGUAAUUGUGUGAGUGUUUUUGUCUGUGCGAGUGUGUUAAGUUGUGUUUGUGUGUGUGUGUGUGUGUAUGUAAUUGUGUAAGUGUUUUUGUCUGUGCGAGUGUGUUAAGUUGUGUGCGUGUGUUUGUGUGUGUAUGUAAUUGUGUGAGUGUUUUUUUCUGUGCGAGUGUGUUAAGUUGUGUUUGUGUGUGUGUGUAUGUAAUUGUGUGAGUGUUUUUGUCUGUGUGAGUGUGUUAAGUUAUGUUUGUGUGUGUGUAUGUAAUUGUGUGAGUGUUUUUGUCUGUGCGAGUGUGUUAAGUUGUGUUUGUGUGUGUGUGUGUGUAUAUAAUUGUGUGAGUGUUUUUGUCUGUGCGAGUGUGUUAAGUUGUGUUUGUGUGUGUGUGUGUGUAUGUAAUUGUGUGAGUGUUUUUGUCUGCGCAAGUUUGUGUGCGUGUGUUUGUGUGUGUAUGUAAUUGUGUGAGUGUUUUUGUCUGUGCGAGUGUGUUAAGUUGUGUUUGUGUGUGUGUGUGUGUGUUUUUGUCUGUGAGAGUGUGUUAGGUUGUGUGUGUGUGUGUGUGCACCAAUGGCGCUGUGUCUAACCGUCUGUGCGCCUGUCAGGGUUCCAGUGUUACUGUAGGUCAACACAUGAGGAGUCAUCAGACUGACUGGAGCUUCCAGUCUGGGCUACCGUUUGCUUUAGUAAACAAAUGAAGUAGCUUUCUCUCCGGAGGACUUCUGACACACUGAGCUCCUGCAGCUGGCUUCAUCCCUUCUGAUCGCGCUCAGCAGUCGAGCAGAACAGCAGAACAGCAGAACAACACUUUACUGUGUUCGCCAUGUGUUUCAAAUUCAUUAGCUUACUGCUGGAAAAGCAAACAUAUUCUCCAACAUGUGAAUUUCACUCCACUGCAGCUUCAGAAUACACAUCUACAUUGAUAAAUCUCCAUGUUUGUGCUGCACUUGUUGCUUGUAAUUAAACGUAAUGAACUGCAGAUGAGCCGUUGUAAUGUGAUUUAGGCAUCUAUUCAGAAAAUUGAAUUGCUUUACGAAGAAGUGAUCAUAUUUACCAUCUCAUCGCAUUCUGGAAUUCAAAUUGGUGGCUGUGCAACAAUAUUGGCAAUGCAAUAAACAUAUACCAUACCAAUAAUAACUAAAAACAGACAUGCACAAAC
This is a long non-coding RNA of Clupea harengus (Atlantic herring), 1900 nucleotides long. The record is from Ensembl. NCBI's taxonomy places the organism in Eukaryota, Metazoa, Chordata, Actinopteri, Clupeiformes, Clupeidae.